UCCUGUACUUGGUGUUACUGCGAAGGGGGGACGGAGAAGGCUAUGUUGGCCGGGCGACGGUUGUCCCGGUUUAAGCGUGUAGGCUGGUUUUCCAGGCAAAUCCGGAAAAUCAAGGCUGAGGCGUGAUGACGAGGCACUACGGUGCUGAAGCAACAAAUGCCCUGCUUCCAGGAAAAGCCUCUAAGCAUCAGGUAACAUCAAAUCGUACCCCAAACCGACACAGGUGGUCAGGUAGAGAAUACCAAGGCGCUUGAGAGAACUCGGGUGAAGGAACUAGGCAAAAUGGUGCCGUAACUUCGGGAGAAGGCACGCUGAUAUGUAGGUGAGGUCCCUCGCGGAUGGAGCUGAAAUCAGUCGAAGAUACCAGCUGGCUGCAACUGUUUAUUAAAAACACAGCACUGUGCAAACACGAAAGUGGACGUAUACGGUGUGACGCCUCCCCGGUGCCGGAAGGUUAAUUGAUGGGGUUAGCGCAAGCGAAGCUCUUGAUCGAAGCCCUGGUAAACGGCGGCCGUAACUAUAACGGUCCUAAGGUAGCGAAAUUCCUUGUCGGGUAAGUUCCGACCUGCACGAAUGGCGUAAUGAUGGCCAGGCUGUCUCCACCCGAGACUCAGUGAAAUUGAACUCGCUGUGAAGAUGCAGUGUACCCGCGGCAAGACGGAAAGACCCCGUGAACCUUUACUAUAGCUUGACACUGAACAUUGAGCCUUGAUGUGUAGGAUAGGUGGGAGGCUUUGAAGUGUGGACGCCAGUCUGCAUGGAGCCGACCUUGAAAUACCACCCUUUAAUGUUUGAUGUUCUAACGUUGACCCGUAAUCCGGGUUGCGGACAGUGUCUGGUGGGUAGUUUGACUGGGGCGGUCUCCUCCUAAAGAGUAACGGAGGAGCACGAAGGUUGGCUAAUCCUGGUCGGACAUCAGGAGGUUAGUGCAAUGGCAUAAGCCAGCUUGACUGCGAGCGUGACGGCGCGAGCAGGUGCGAAAGCAGGUCAUAGUGAUCCGGUGGUUCUGAAUGGAAGGGCCAUCGCUCAACGGAUAAAAGGUACUCCGGGAUAACAGGCUGAUACCGCCCAAGAGUUCAUAUCGACGGCGGUGUUUGGCACCUCGAUGUCGGCUCAUCACAUCCUGGGGCUGAAGUAGGUCCCAAGGGUAUGGCUGUUCGCCAUUUAAAGUGGUACGCGAGCUGGGUUUAGAACGUCGUGAGACAGUUCGGUCCCUAUCUGCCGUGGGCGCUGGAGAACUGAGGGGGGCUGCUCCUAGUACGAGAGGACCGGAGUGGACGCAUCACUGGUGUUCGGGUUGUCAUGCCAAUGGCACUGCCCGGUAGCUAAAUGCGGUAGAGAUAAGUGCUGAAAGCAUCUAAGCACGAAACUUGCCCCGAGAUGAGUUCUCCCUGACCCUUUAAGGGUCCUGAAGGAACGUUGAAGACGACGAC
RNAcentral lists this ribosomal RNA (1433 nucleotides) under metagenome. RNAcentral describes it as "bacterial LSU rRNA". It matches the Rfam family "Bacterial large subunit ribosomal RNA", at positions 1437 to 2851 of the family's 2925-position model. The record is from RNAcentral.